Molecule: non-coding RNA, 45 nt
Organism: Schistosoma margrebowiei
Lineage: Eukaryota; Metazoa; Platyhelminthes; Trematoda; Strigeidida; Schistosomatidae
Source: Rfam
AUCCAGUUGACAAGUCCCAAAUAGAACGCAACGCACGUCCUGGAU